This 119-nucleotide ribosomal RNA is filed under the name Triticum aestivum (bread wheat). Lineage: Eukaryota; Viridiplantae; Streptophyta; Magnoliopsida; Poales; Poaceae. The record is from RNAcentral.
GGAUGCGAUCAUACCAGCACUAAAGCACCGGAUCCCAUCAGAACUCUGAAGUUAAGCGUGCUUGGGAGAGAGUAGUACUAGGAUGGGUGACCUCCUGGGAAGUCCUCGUGUUGCAUUCC